This 497-nucleotide ribosomal RNA is filed under the name uncultured bacterium. Its description in RNAcentral is "partial 16S ribosomal RNA". It matches the Rfam family "Bacterial small subunit ribosomal RNA", at positions 28 to 507 of the family's 1533-position model. The record is from RNAcentral.
GAUGAACGCUGGCGGCGUGCCUAAUACAUGCAAGUCGAGCGAACGGACGAGAAGCUUGCUUCUCUGAUGUUAGCGGCGGACGGGUGAGUAACACGUGGAUAACCUACCUAUAAGGCUGGGAUAACUUCGGGAAACCGGAGCUAAUACCGGAUAAUAUUUUGAACCGCAUGGUUCAAAAGUGAAAGACGGUCUUGCUGUCACUUAUAGAUGGAUCCGCGCUGCAUUAGCUAGUUGGUAAGGUAACGGCUUACCAAGGCAACGAUGCAUAGCCGACCUGAGAGGGUGAUCGGCCACACUGGAACUGAGACACGGUCCAGACUCCUACGGGAGGCAGCAGUAGGGAAUCUUCCGCAAUGGGCGAAAGCCUGACGGAGCAACGCCGCGUGAGUGAUGAAGGUCUUCGGAUCGCAAAACUCUGUUAUUAGGGAAGAACAUAUGUGUAAGUAACUGUGCACAUCUUGACGGUACCUAAUCAGAAAGCCACGGCUAACUACGUG